AGGGUGUUAGUAGAAAUAUCUACAUUCCAUUUGCAGUGGAAAAAUAAGCAUGCCUUACACCUUA
RNAcentral lists this transfer RNA (64 nucleotides) under Pectinopygus varius. RNAcentral's name for it is "tRNA-Ala". The record is from RNAcentral. Lineage: Eukaryota; Metazoa; Arthropoda; Insecta; Psocodea; Philopteridae.